AAGCGGCCGGGCUAACGGGAGC
This 22-nucleotide unclassified non-coding RNA is filed under the name Chlamydomonas reinhardtii. RNAcentral describes it as "small RNA Cre_0113". The record is from RNAcentral. Lineage: Eukaryota; Viridiplantae; Chlorophyta; Chlorophyceae; Chlamydomonadales; Chlamydomonadaceae.